GGCCGCGUGGCGCAAUGGCUUAGCGUAUCGGAGUCCGGUAGGGCAUCGACUCUUUUAGUAGUUAUCCGGAGGUUGUGGGUUCGAGUCCCAUCGUGGUCG
Pneumocystis murina B123 is the source of this 99-nucleotide transfer RNA. It matches the Rfam family "tRNA". From Rfam's summary of the family: Transfer RNA (tRNA) molecules are approximately 80 nucleotides in length. Their secondary structure includes four short double-helical elements and three loops (D, anti-codon, and T loops). The record is from Rfam. Lineage: Eukaryota; Fungi; Ascomycota; Pneumocystomycetes; Pneumocystales; Pneumocystaceae.